Molecule: ribosomal RNA, 694 nt
Filed under: uncultured bacterium
Lineage: Bacteria
Description: bacterial SSU rRNA
Rfam family: Bacterial small subunit ribosomal RNA
Source: RNAcentral
AACGCUAGCUACAGGCUUAACACAUGCAAGUCGAGGGGCAGCAUUAUCGAAGCUUGCUUUGAUAGAUGGCGACCGGCGCACGGGUGAGUAACGCGUAUCCAACCUUCCCCAUAGUCAGGAAUAGCCCGGCGAAAGUCGAAUUAAUGCCUGAUGUUUUCCACGGACGGCAUCCGAUGUGGAACAAAGAUUCAUCGCUAUGGGAUGGGGAUGCGUCUGAUUAGCUUGUUGGCGGGGUAACGGCCCACCAAGGCAACGAUCAGUAGGGGUUCUGAGAGGAAGGUCCCCCACAUUGGAACUGAGACACGGUCCAAACUCCUACGGGAGGCAGCAGUGAGGAAUAUUGGUCAAUGGGCGGAAGCCUGAACCAGCCAAGUAGCGUGAGGGAUGACUGCCCUAUGGGUUGUAAACCUCUUUUAUAAGGGAAUAAAAUACGGGACGUGUCCUGUUUUGCAUGUACCUUAUGAAUAAGGACCGGCUAAUUCCGUGCCAGCAGCCGCGGUAAUACGGAAGGUCCGGGCGUUAUCCGGAUUUAUUGGGUUUAAAGGGAGCGUAGGCCGGCUUUUAAGCGUGUUGUGAAAUGCCGCGGCUCAACCGUGGCACUGCAGCGCGAACUGGAGGCCUUGAGUGCGCGGGAGGUAGGCGGAAUUCGUGGUGUAGCGGUGAAAUGCUUAGAUAUCACGAAGAACUCCGAUUG